UGCAAGUCGAACGGCAGCAUGAUCUAGCUUGCUAGAUUGAUGGCGAGUGGCGAACGGGUGAGUAAUACAUCGGAACGUGCCCUGUAGUGGGGGAUAACUAGUCGAAAGAUUAGCUAAUACCGCAUACGACCUGAGGGUGAAAGUGGGGGACCGCAAGGCCUCAUGCUAUAGGAGCGGCCGAUGUCUGAUUAGCUAGUUGGUGAGGUAAAGGCUCACCAAGGCGACGAUCAGUAGCUGGUCUGAGAGGACGAUCAGCCACACUGGGACUGAGACACGGCCCAGACUCCUACGGGAGGCAGCAGUGGGGAAUUUUGGACAAUGGGGGCAACCCUGAUCCAGCAAUGCCGCGUGUGUGAAGAAGGCCUUCGGGUUGUAAAGCACUUUUGUCCGGAAAGAAAUCGCACUUACUAAUAUUAGGUGUGGAUGACGGUACCGGAAGAAUAAGGACCGGCUAACUACGUGCCAGCAGCCGCGGUAAUACGUAGGGUCCAAGCGUUAAUCGGAAUUACUGGGCGUAAAGCGUGCGCAGGCGGUUGUGCAAGACCGAUGUGAAAUCCCCGGGCUUAACCUGGGAAUUGCAUUGGUGACUGCACGGCUAGAGUGUGUCAGAGGGGGGUAGAAUUCCACGUGUAGCAGUGAAAUGCGUAGAGAUGUGGAGGAAUACCGAUGGCGAA
This 674-nucleotide ribosomal RNA is filed under the name uncultured bacterium. RNAcentral describes it as "bacterial SSU rRNA". It matches the Rfam family "Bacterial small subunit ribosomal RNA", at positions 56 to 719 of the family's 1533-position model. The record is from RNAcentral.